This is a long non-coding RNA of Cervus elaphus (red deer), 1555 nucleotides long. RefSeq lists it as uncharacterized. The transcript is spliced from 3 exons. The record is from RefSeq and is a predicted model, not a curated record. Lineage: Eukaryota; Metazoa; Chordata; Mammalia; Artiodactyla; Cervidae.
UACCCUGGGGGGAGGGCAUGGUUGGACGGCCGCCCUGACGCGGGACUGGUGGUCGUGCUCCUGUCCAGGGGCCCGCCCCCCGGGGGUGGGGGGCUCCCGAGCGUCUCCGGACCGUGGGUCGCCCUCUUCCUUUUCCUGGGUGGGCGGGAGGCACGUGGCGCCCACGGGCUCUGCAGGCCUGGGGCUGGUGGCAGCCAAACACCCAGACGCAGAGCACCACGGGCCCAGAGAGACGGGGCGGGGUGAGAGGCGCCAGAUGCAGCCUCGGCCGAGAACAGGGGAGCCCCCGGGGAGCCGGCCCUGACCUCCGGGCCUGGGGUCUGUCACGUCGCUUGAAGGCAGCCUGCGGUUGGGCCCGCAGCGGCGGGCGGGGGAGGCAGACCCUCAGGGGAUGCAUCCACCCCGACCCCUCUUGCCCUUUCUUUCCCCUUUGCCUGUUCUGGGCCCCGUGUGAGUGUCACAGGUCGGGGCCCCGUGUGAGUGUCACGGGUCGGGUCAGGGCCCCGUGUCAGUGUCACGGGUCGGGUCGGGGCCCCGUGUGAGUGUCACAGGUCGGGGCCCCGUGUGAGUGUCACGGGUCGGGUCAGGGCCCUGUGUGAGUGUCACAGGUCGGGGCCCCGUGUGAGUGUCACAGGUCGGGUCAGGGCCCCGUGUGAGUGUCACAGGUCGGGGCCCAGUGUGAGUGUCACGGGGGCGUCACGGGUCGGGGCCCCGUGUGAGUGUCACAGGUCGGGUCAGGGCCCCGUGUGAGUGUCACAGGUCGGGGCCCAGUGUGAGUGUCACGGGGGCGUCACGGGUCGGGGCCCCGUGUGAGUGUCACAGGUCGGGGCCCCGUGUGAGUGUCACGGGGGCGUCACGGGUCGGGGCCCCCAGCUGGCCCUCUGGGCCGGCCUUGCCCGGCGCUGCCCCCUGCUGGCGGGGACCGCAGGCUGCAGCUGUCCCAGUCGGGAUGCCACCACGAGGUGCUGACCCCCAGCCUCCGGCUCCCUGCCCGCCAGCCGCCGGACACCACGGCCACGGGGCAUUCCUCUGCACUCCAGACACGCGGCUAUAAAAGGGUGGCGGCCUGGCAUCGGGGCCACGGGCCCCUGUCUGCAGUGCGACAGGCCAGGUGGGGCCUCCGACCACCCCCACGACGCGGAGAGCACCCCCGCCCUGUACCCGCAGUGUGGCGCUGUGUCCACGCCCCCAGCUGAAGCCGGGCCGCCCUGGCACGUGUGCGGACUGACUAAACGAGCGGAGGCUCCGCCCAGGGCAAGGCCAGAAGACUCCUUGCCGGCCUCCCCAACCCGGAGUCAGCUACAGAGCAGUGCCCGAGACGCAGCCCUUCUGCGAGGACGGUCCCCGCCGGCACCCUGCCCGCACGGGACACAGCCAGCCAAGCAUGUGCUCCGCUGUCUCAUGGCCCCCAGAUGGGCCUCCGGACAGUCCUGUGGUCACCCCCCAGCCGAGGACGCGGCUGAGGCGGCCAGGGGUCCUGUCCAAGGCCGCCGGCCAGCGAGCGUGCAGUUGCAGGUUGGGGCCGCCAGGGGGCAGCAGCGCCCCGGGCCGGCCU